ACAACGGAGAGUUUGAUCCUGGCUCAGAACGAACGUUGGCGGCGUGGAUUAGGCAUGCAAGUCGAACGAGAAAGUUCCCUUCGGGGGAUGAGUAAAGUGGCGAACGGGAGAGUAACGCGUGGGAAACCUACCCUUCAGCGGGGGACAACAGUUCUAACGAACUGCUAAUACCGCAUACGAUCCGGCGACCGCAUGGUGGCCGGCUGAAAGAUGGCCUCUGCUUGCAAGCUGUCACUGAAGGAUGGUCCCGCGUCCCAUUAGCUAGUUGGCGGGGUAAUGGCCCACCAAGGCGACGAUGGGUAGCCGGCCUGAGAGGGUGUCCGGCCUCACUGGGACUGAGAUACGGCCCAGACUCCUACGGGAGGCAGCAGUCGAGAAGCUUCGGCAAUGGGCGAAAGCCUGACCGAGCGACGCCGCGUGAGCGAUGAAGGCCUUAGGGUCGUAAAGCUCUGUCAGGAGGGAAUAAAUACCCGCGGUUAAUACCCGCGGGGGUUGAAGGUACCUCCAGAGGAAGCGCCGGCUAACUACGUGCCAGCAGCCGCGGUAAUACGUAGGGCGCAAACGUUGUUCGGAUUCACUGGGUAUAAAGGGUUCGUAGGCGGGCCAGUUAGUCAGAGGUGAAAGCCAACGGCUC
RNAcentral lists this ribosomal RNA (634 nucleotides) under bacterium. RNAcentral's name for it is "bacterial SSU rRNA". It matches the Rfam family "Bacterial small subunit ribosomal RNA", at positions 1 to 610 of the family's 1533-position model. The record is from RNAcentral.